This 322-nucleotide ribosomal RNA is filed under the name uncultured bacterium. RNAcentral describes it as "bacterial SSU rRNA". It matches the Rfam family "Bacterial small subunit ribosomal RNA", at positions 28 to 334 of the family's 1533-position model. The record is from RNAcentral.
GAUGAACGCUGGCGGCGUGCUUAACACAUGCAAGUCGAACGGGAAACAUUUAUUGAAGCUUCGGCAGAUCUAGCUUGUUUCUAGUGGCGGACGGGUGAGUAACGCGUGGGCAACCUGCCUCACACUGGGGGAUAACAGUCAGAAAUGGCUGCUAAUACCGCAUAAGCGCACAGCAUCGCAUGAUGCAGUGUGAAAAACUCCGGUGGUGUGAGAUGGACCCGCGUUGGAUUAGCUAGUUGGCAGGGUAGCGGCCUACCAAGGCGACGAUCCAUAGCCGGCCUGAGAGGGUGAACGGCCACAUUGGGACUGAGACACGGCCCAG